AUAACAAUUGGAAACGAAUGCUAAUACCCAUAUGCUUACUUAGUGAAAUGAUUUUAUCCGCCGAAAGAGAAGCUCGCGGCUGAUUAGCUUGUUGGUAAGGUAAGAGCUUACCAAGGCGACGAUCAGUAUCUGGUUUGAGAGGACGAUCAGACACACUGGAACUGAGACACGGUCCAGACUCCUACGGGAGGCAGCAGUGGGGNAUUUUCCGCAAUGGGCGNAAGCCUGACGGAGCAAUACCGCGUGAGGGAAGACUGCCUAUGGGUUGUAAACCUCUUUUUUCAGGGAGGAAUUAAUGACGUGUACCUGAAGNAUAAG
This 318-nucleotide ribosomal RNA is filed under the name uncultured cyanobacterium. RNAcentral's name for it is "bacterial SSU rRNA". It matches the Rfam family "Bacterial small subunit ribosomal RNA", at positions 143 to 490 of the family's 1533-position model. The record is from RNAcentral. Lineage: Bacteria; Bacillati; Cyanobacteriota.